This 208-nucleotide ribosomal RNA is filed under the name uncultured bacterium. RNAcentral describes it as "partial 16S ribosomal RNA". It matches the Rfam family "Bacterial small subunit ribosomal RNA", at positions 568 to 774 of the family's 1533-position model. The record is from RNAcentral.
CGUCUAGGCGGUCAGGUAAGUGGGAUGUGAAAUGCCCCGGCUCACCCGGGGGACCGGCAUCUCAUACUGCUUGGCUUGAGUACGGGAGAGGAUGUGGGAAUUCCUGGUGUAGCGGUGAAAUGCGUAGAUAUCAGGAGGAACACCGGUGGCGAAGGCGCACAUCUGGCCCGAUACUGACGCUGAAGCGCGAAAGCUAGGGGAGCAAACG